This 579-nucleotide ribosomal RNA is filed under the name uncultured bacterium. Its description in RNAcentral is "bacterial SSU rRNA". It matches the Rfam family "Bacterial small subunit ribosomal RNA", at positions 338 to 916 of the family's 1533-position model. The record is from RNAcentral.
CCUACGGGAGGCAGCAGUGAGGAAUAUUGGACAAUGGGCGCAAGCCUGAUCCAGCCAUGCCGCGUGCAGGAAGACGCAUCUAUGGUGUGUAAACUGCUUUUGUACAGGAAGAAACACUCCCUCGUGAGGGAGCUUGACGGUACUGUAAGAAUAAGGAUCGGCUAACUCCGUGCCAGCAGCCGCGGUAAUACGGAGGAUCCAAGCGUUAUCCGGAAUCAUUGGGUUUAAAGGGUCCGUAGGCGGUUUAAUAAGUCAGUGGUGAAAUCUGGUCGCUCAACGAUCAAACGGCCAUUGAUACUGUUAGACUUGAAUUAUAAGGAAGUAACUAGAAUAUGUAGUGUAGCGGUGAAAUGCUUAGAUAUUACAUGAAAUACCAAUUGCGAAGGCAGGUUACUACUUAUGGAUUGACGCUGAUGGACGAAAGCGUGGGGAGCGAACAGGAUUAGAUACCCUGGUAGUCCACGCCGUAAACGAUGGAUACUAGCUGUUGGGCGUCAAGUUCAGUGGCUAAGCGAAAGUGAUAAGUAUCCACCUGGGGAAGUACGUUCGCGAAGAAUUGGAAACUCAAGGAAUUGACGG